RNAcentral lists this ribosomal RNA (467 nucleotides) under uncultured bacterium. RNAcentral's name for it is "partial 16S ribosomal RNA". It matches the Rfam family "Bacterial small subunit ribosomal RNA", at positions 29 to 507 of the family's 1533-position model. The record is from RNAcentral.
ACGAACGCUGGCGGCGUGCUUAACCCAUGCCAGUCGCACGGAAAGGCCCUGCUUUUGUGGGGUGCUCGAGUGGCGAACGGGUGAGUAACACGUGAGUAACCUGCCCUUGACUUUGGGAUAACUUCAGGAAACUGGGGCUAAUACCGGAUAGGAGCUCCUGCUGCAUGGUGGGGUUGGUAAGGUUUCGGGGGUUGGGGAUGGACUUGGGGUUUAUCAGCUUUUUGUUGGGGAGGUGGCUUACCAAGGCUUGGCGGGGAAGCCGUCCUGGGAGGGUGACCGGCAACAUUGGGACUGAGAUACGGCCCAGACUCCUACGGGAGGCAGCAGUGGGGAAUAGUGCACAAUGGGCGGAAGCCUGAUGCAGCAACGCCGCGUGCGGGAUGACUGCCUUCGGGUUGUAAACCGCUUUCGCCUGUGACGAAGCGUGAGUGACGGUAAUGGGUAAAGAAGCACCGGCUAACUACGUG